This is a long non-coding RNA of Oncorhynchus tshawytscha (Chinook salmon), 391 nucleotides long. The record is from Ensembl. NCBI's taxonomy places the organism in Eukaryota, Metazoa, Chordata, Actinopteri, Salmoniformes, Salmonidae.
GUUUUUUGCCCUCGCUGAUUUAAAAUAAUCAACUAAUCAUCACGCUGUGUAGUGUUGGGGCAAAUAACUAAACGUGCACCUCUUGGAGGCCUGAGGCCCGAGUUUGGGGAAACUCUGCUUUAUUUACAUUGAACUACUAAUAGUGAUUUAGUCAGAUUAGAGCCCUAUAGAGGUGGUUUAGUGAGACAGCAGCUCUAUAGAGGUGGUUUAGUGAGACCGCAGCUCUAUAGAGGUGGUUUAGUCAGACUAGAGCUCUAUGGAGGUGGUUUAGUCAGACUAGAGCUCUAUGGAGGUGGUUUAGUCAGACAGCGGCUCUAUAGAGGUGGUUUAGUCAGACUAGAGCUCUAUAGAGGUGGUUUAGUCAGACUAGAGCUCUAUGGAGGUGGUUUAG